Molecule: ribosomal RNA, 2926 nt
Filed under: Klebsiella oxytoca
Lineage: Bacteria; Pseudomonadati; Pseudomonadota; Gammaproteobacteria; Enterobacterales; Enterobacteriaceae
Description: bacterial LSU rRNA
Rfam family: Bacterial large subunit ribosomal RNA
Source: RNAcentral
GGGUUGUGAGGUUAAGCGACUAAGCGUACACGGUGGAUGCCCUGGCAGUCAGAGGCGAUGAAGGACGUGCUAAUCUGCGAAAAGCGUCGGUAAGGUGAUAUGAACCGUUAUAACCGGCGAUGUCCGAAUGGGGAAACCCAGUGCAAUUCGUUGCACUAUCGUUAACUGAAUACAUAGGUUAACGAGGCGAACCGGGGGAACUGAAACAUCUAAGUACCCCGAGGAAAAGAAAUCAACCGAGAUUCCCCCAGUAGCGGCGAGCGAACGGGGAGCAGCCCGGAGUCUGAAUCAGCUUGUGUGUUAGUGGAAGCGUCUGGAAAGUCGCAGGGUACAGGGUGAUACUCCCGUACACUAAAACACACAGGCUGUGAACUCGAAGAGUAGGGCGGGACACGUGGUAUCCUGUCUGAAUAUGGGGGGACCAUCCUCCAAGGCUAAAUACUCCUGACUGACCGAUAGUGAACCAGUACCGUGAGGGAAAGGCGAAAAGAACCCCGGCGAGGGGAGUGAAAAAGAACCUGAAACCGUGUACGUACAAGCAGUAGGAGCCCACUAGUUGGGUGACUGCGUACCUUUUGUAUAAUGGGUCAGCGACUUAUAUUCUGUAGCAAGGUUAACCGUAUAGGGGAGCCGCAGGGAAACCGAGUCUUAACUGGGCGUUAAGUUGCAGGGUAUAGACCCGAAACCCGGUGAUCUAGCCAUGGGCAGGUUGAAGGUUGGGUAACACUAACUGGAGGACCGAACCGACUAAUGUUGAAAAAUUAGCGGAUGACUUGUGGCUGGGGGUGAAAGGCCAAUCAAACCGGGAGAUAGCUGGUUCUCCCCGAAAGCUAUUUAGGUAGCGCCUCGUGAACUCAUCUUCGGGGGUAGAGCACUGUUUCGGCUAGGGGGUCAUCCCGACUUACCAACCCGAUGCAAACUACGAAUACCGAAGAAUGUUAUCACGGGAGACACACGGCGGGUGCUAACGUCCGUCGUGAAGAGGGAAACAACCCAGACCGCCAGCUAAGGUCCCAAAGUCAUGGUUAAGUGGGAAACGAUGUGGGAAGGCCCAGACAGCCAGGAUGUUGGCUUAGAAGCAGCCAUCAUUUAAAGAAAGCGUAAUAGCUCACUGGUCGAGUCGGCCUGCGCGGAAGAUGUAACGGGGCUAAACCAUGCACCGAAGCUGCGGCAGCGACACUAUGUGUUGUUGGGUAGGGGAGCGUUCUGUAAGCCGUUGAAGGUGGCCUGUGAGGGUUGCUGGAGGUAUCAGAAGUGCGAAUGCUGACAUAAGUAACGAUAAUGCGGGUGAAAAACCCGCACGCCGGAAGACCAAGGGUUCCUGUCCAACGUUAAUCGGGGCAGGGUGAGUCGACCCCUAAGGCGAGGCCGAAAGGCGUAGUCGAUGGGAAACAGGUUAAUAUUCCUGUACUUGGUGUUACUGCGAAGGGGGACGGAGAAGGCUAUGUUGGCCGGGCGACGGUUGUCCCGGUUUAAGCAUGUAGGCGGAUGUUCCAGGUAAAUCCGGAAUGUUGUUAACGCUGAGGUGUGAUGACGAGGCACUACGGUGCUGAAGUGACAAAUGCCCUGCUUCCAGGAAAAGCCUCUAAGCAUCAGGUAACAUCAAAUCGUACCCCAAACCGACACAGGUGGUCAGGUAGAGAAUACCAAGGCGCUUGAGAGAACUCGGGUGAAGGAACUAGGCAAAAUGGUGCCGUAACUUCGGGAGAAGGCACGCUGAUGGUAGGUGAAGUGACUUGCUCACGGAGCUGAAAUCAGUCGAAGAUACCAGCUGGCUGCAACUGUUUAUUAAAAACACAGCACUGUGCAAACACGAAAGUGGACGUAUACGGUGUGACGCCUGCCCGGUGCCGGAAGGUUAAUUGAUGGGGUUAUCCUCACGGAGAAGCUCUUGAUCGAAGCCCCGGUAAACGGCGGCCGUAACUAUAACGGUCCUAAGGUAGCGAAAUUCCUUGUCGGGUAAGUUCCGACCUGCACGAAUGGCGUAAUGAUGGCCAGGCUGUCUCCACCCGAGACUCAGUGAAAUUGAACUCGCUGUGAAGAUGCAGUGUACCCGCGGCAAGACGGAAAGACCCCGUGAACCUUUACUAUAGCUUGACACUGAACACUGGUCCUUGAUGUGUAGGAUAGGUGGGAGGCUUUGAAGUGUGGACGCCAGUCUGCAUGGAGCCAUCCUUGAAAUACCACCCUUUAAUGGCUGGUGUUCUAACGUGGGCCCCUAAUCGGGGUUGCGGACAGUGUCUGGUGGGUAGUUUGACUGGGGCGGUCUCCUCCUAAAGAGUAACGGAGGAGCACGAAGGUCAGCUAAUCCUGGUCGGACAUCAGGAGGUUAGUGCAAUGGCAUAAGCUGGCUUGACUGCGAGCGUGACGGCGCGAGCAGGUGCGAAAGCAGGUCAUAGUGAUCCGGUGGUUCUGAAUGGAAGGGCCAUCGCUCAACGGAUAAAAGGUACUCCGGGGAUAACAGGCUGAUACCGCCCAAGAGUUCAUAUCGACGGCGGUGUUUGGCACCUCGAUGUCGGCUCAUCACAUCCUGGGGCUGAAGUAGGUCCCAAGGGUAUGGCUGUUCGCCAUUUAAAGUGGUACGCGAGCUGGGUUUAGAACGUCGUGAGACAGUUCGGUCCCUAUCUGCCGUGGGCGCUGGAGAAUUGAGGGGGGCUGCUCCUAGUACGAGAGGACCGGAGUGGACGCAUCACUGGUGUUCGGGUUGUCAUGCCAAUGGCAUUGCCCGGUAGCUAAAUGCGGAAGAGAUAAGUGCUGAAAGCAUCUAAGCACGAAACUUGCCCCGAGAUGAGUUCUCCCUGACUCCUUGAGAGUCCUGAAGGAACGUUGAAGACGACGACGUUGAUAGGCCGGGUGUGUAAGCGCAGCGAUGCGUUGAGCUAACCGGUACUAAUGAACCGUGAGGCUUAACCUUACAACGCCGAAG